AACGAACGCUGGCGGCAUGCCUAACACAUGCAAGUCGAACGAGACCUUCGGGUCUAGUGGCGCACGGGUGCGUAACGCGUGGGAACCUGCCCUUAGGUUCGGAAUAACUCCCCGAAAGGGGUGCUAAUACCGGAUAAUGUCUUCGGACCAAAGAUUUAUCGCCUUUGGAUGGGCCCGCGUUGGAUUAGCUAGUUGGUAGGGUAACAGCCUACCAAGGCGACGAUCCAUAGCUGGUCUGAGAGGAUGAUCAGCCACACUGGGACUGAGACACGGCCCAGACUCCUACGGGAGGCAGCAGUGGGGAAUAUUGGACAAUGGGCGAAAGCCUGAUCCAGCAAUGCCGCGUGAGUGAUGAAGGCCUUAGGGUUGUAAAGCUCUUUUACCCGGGAUGAUAAUGACAGUACCGGGAGAAUAAGCUCCGGCUAACUCCGUG
This 433-nucleotide ribosomal RNA is filed under the name uncultured bacterium. RNAcentral describes it as "partial 16S ribosomal RNA". It matches the Rfam family "Bacterial small subunit ribosomal RNA", at positions 29 to 507 of the family's 1533-position model. The record is from RNAcentral.